This 207-nucleotide ribosomal RNA is filed under the name uncultured bacterium. Its description in RNAcentral is "partial 16S ribosomal RNA". It matches the Rfam family "Bacterial small subunit ribosomal RNA", at positions 568 to 774 of the family's 1533-position model. The record is from RNAcentral.
CGCGUAGGCGGUCUGGUUAGUCUGAUGUGAAAGCCCUCGACUUAAUCGAGGAAGUGCAUUGGAUACUGCCGGACUGGAGUGCAGGAGAGGUGAGCGGAAUUCCAGGUGUAGAGGUGAAAUUCGUAGAUAUCUGGAGGAACAACGGUGGCGAAGGCGGCUCACUGGACUGUUACUGACGCUGAGGCGCGAAAGCGUGGGGAGCAAACA